RNAcentral lists this ribosomal RNA (542 nucleotides) under Dothiora phaeosperma. RNAcentral's name for it is "partial 18S ribosomal RNA". The stretch from base 75 to 406 matches the Rfam family "Group I catalytic intron". Rfam says of the family: Group I catalytic introns are large self-splicing ribozymes. They catalyse their own excision from mRNA, tRNA and rRNA precursors in a wide range of organisms. The record is from RNAcentral. Lineage: Eukaryota; Fungi; Ascomycota; Dothideomycetes; Dothideales; Dothioraceae.
UCCUUCCGCAGUGUACACUUGCUGAAGCCUUAGCGGGUCCAAAAGACCGGUACUAUCGCGACUGAAAAUAAUGGAGACCAGCCUGCUCGUCAGGCGCGCUAGUCGGGGGCCUUCUCAUGCCCCCGGCGACACUAUCGAAUUGACGGGGAUCCCCUAAAGACGGUGAUACCAACCCUGCGGCGAAAGCCAAGGGGGGCCCGAGUUAACCACUCGGGGUGUGGUAAUAAAUCAUCGUAUGAGCCUCACGCGCCGAAGUGGACGCGCGUGUGGUGAAAUGGGCAAUCCGCAGCCAACGCCUAAGGUUAAACCUGGUUUAACUACGGUAGGGGUUCACAGACUAAGUGGUAGUGGGUGUGGCCUUCGGGCCAUGCUUAAGAUAUAGUCGGGCCCCCGGGGAAACCUGGGGGGUAAGUACACUGCAAAUCAGUUUGCAGGUCGCCUUGGUGGAUGCCUCGACCGCGUGCUGCGGGCCCGGCGUGAAGCCUCGGUCGACCAAAGACUACAACAAACCGUUCCGUAGGUGAACCUGCGGAAGGAUCAUU